AAGUCGUAACAAGGUUUCCGUAGGUGAACCUGCGGAAGGAUCAUUAUCUGUUUAAUGGUGUUGGUCGCGGCCCCGCGGAGAUGUCCCGGCGUAGCAGGUAAGCACGUACUCACGCGGCCACGAUCGCCUUCAUCCUUUUUUACGCAUUGCACCUUCUGUUCUCCUUCGGUGGGGCAACCUGCCGUUGGAACCUAUCAAAACCUUUUUUUGCAUUUAGCAUUACCUGUUCCGAUACAAACAAUCGUUACAA
Molecule: unclassified non-coding RNA, 250 nt
Filed under: plant metagenome
Description: partial contains small subunit ribosomal RNA and internal transcribed spacer 1
Rfam family: Eukaryotic small subunit ribosomal RNA (bases 1-46)
Source: RNAcentral